Molecule: non-coding RNA, 23 nt
Filed under: Arabidopsis thaliana (thale cress)
Lineage: Eukaryota; Viridiplantae; Streptophyta; Magnoliopsida; Brassicales; Brassicaceae
Source: RNAcentral
AAGUAGAGAGUCGAAGUGACUUU